Molecule: ribosomal RNA, 468 nt
Filed under: uncultured bacterium
Lineage: Bacteria
Description: partial 16S ribosomal RNA
Rfam family: Bacterial small subunit ribosomal RNA
Source: RNAcentral
GACGAACGCUGGCGGCGUGCUUAACACAUGCAAGUCGAACGGAAAGGCCCUGCUUUUGUGGGGUGCUCGAGUGGCGAACGGGUGAGUAACACGUGAGUAACCUGCCCUUGACUUUGGGAUAACUUCAGGAAACUGGGGCUAAUACCGGAUAGGAGCUCCUGCUGCAUGGUGGGGGUUGGAAAGUUUCGGCGGUUGGGGAUGGACUCGCGGCUUAUCAGCUUGUUGGUGGGGUAGUGGAUUACCAAGGCUUUGACGGGUAGCCGGCCUGAGAGGGGGACCGGCCACAUUGGGACUGAGAUACGGCCCAGACUCCUACGGGAGGCAGCAGUGGGGAAUAGUGCACAAUGGGCGGAAGCCUGAUGCAGCAACGCCGCGUGCGGGAUGACGGCCUUCGGGUUGUAAACCGCUUUCGCCUGUGACGAAGCGUGAGUGACGGUAAUGGGUAAAGAAGCACCGGCUAACUACGUG